CUCCUCCCGUCCUGAAAAGGCACUAGCCGCCUCCCCAAGCCCAACUCGCCGAAACCCAGCACCCCAUGACCCGAUCGAUCACCGAUGGCGUUCGGCGAGGUCAUGCCCUAGGCCUCAUCCUCGGCCGCCCUGACAGCGGAUCGAAUCAGCGUAGUUGGCGCAUGGGACGGCUCCCUGGAGGUGUACCUGGGCGCUUGGACGGGGCUGAUGCUGCGCGUCGAGGUGGCGCGGUGGGCCGGGGUCCCGGCGCAUGCCGUGGCGAGCUAAUCUCAACCUGACGCUGGUCACCAGCGCGGCAUCAUGCCACCUGGCCGGCGCUGCAGCGACGUGGUUAAGAGGGAGGUGGAUGAGGCAGAGUCUGCGCUCGGCGUCGCGGAGAUCUGGAGGAUACAUGAUUGUGUGGACACAGCGGCGGCGUGGCCGGGUGGGGCGGCAUGUUGAUUUUCUUGGGGGUAGGUUUUUGCUGCUGGUGACCUUUUAAGAAAUUUAAGAGAUCCAGUGCACGGAAAGAUGCUAUUGAGUUGGGAGACCAGGUGGAUUUGAAGCUCAUUGGUCAACGUUCAGUCAAAUUUCAUAUUGAACAGGUAUGUCCUUGAUGAUCUGGUGCUUCUAAUCUUUUUUGCCUAUAGUUCGGACCUUAAGCCUCUCUUACUUUGUCCAAUAUAGUUAGUCUGCAUAUGAGAACACACGUAUGUCAAUGGAUAAGCAAUUGACCUCUAAUCAAUCAAGGUUUGCAAACUCAUCCAGAUCUCAAUCUUAAUGGUUCAAGAAUCAACAUUUACACUUUAAAGUGUAUUCAUUGACCAAUUCUUUUUGAAAUAUGCAUCUGGGCCAUCGAAGGCAAGAUGCUUAUGUUAUGUUUUUAUUCUGAUGACAAAUUAUCUUCUUUGCCUGUUGGUAGCUGCUCAUGAGAAAUUAGGAUAUAUUUUUACUGCUUUAGAUGCAAGCAUCUUCUUUUCCAUGGGCCUGCAGCUAUUUGUUUGGAAAUUAAGUUGAAGUUAACGACAUUUGUUAUUCUGCAUGGGCAGGGAUGCAGAGUAUUAAAUAUUUCUAGGACAUAAAGUACAUCGGCAAUUUAAGUAUUUAAGUAGUGUAUCAAUUUUCACUGUAUUCUCAGUUUUAAUCUUAGUGUAGCUUAUGCCCAGAUCUUUAGUAUAUGAUUAAUCUCAUCUAUUUCUUGUGAGAUGCCGACUGAAUAAGGAAACCAGUAAAGUUUCCCGUUCUUAGAUCUAAUGCUUCCUCUCUCUCAAUAUGAUAACCAUCUAAAUUGUUAUUAUUAUUUACACUGUGAUGCUAAUCUUAUUUGUUUUGAAAAAGAUGAAUCUACAUGAUAGAUAUGAACUCAGUGAAUAAAAUUUGGGACUAACAUUCAAGCACAAUAAUGUGAAUACAACAUAUGCCUGCUGGUGUGCUGGAAUUCACCAGUUGUAUCAAGAAAACAAAAAGUAAAACAGGUAUGCCAAAUGAGUGAAAUUUCUUAUUCUACUCUUUACAGCUAAAAGCAUAAUCUGCCUUAUUUUUCUACCAAGAUACCCGAAUAGUUAUAGUCAAUAUAUUGGUUUUCUUGGUUUUGACCCGGAAACUCGAUGUAGUUGUAACCCCCGGUAUGAUUGAAAAUCUAAAAUUAUAAUUUCACAUGACUAAAUGUCCCCAUUAAAUUUAUUUCUGUUGUCUCUAGAAUUAACAGUGCUUCAAAUGAUAAUUUCCAACUACCACUCUUAGAUAUUGGUUCAUCGUUUGCACUCUUAAAAUUACAAUGUGUUUUGUCGGAGCUGGUUUGCCCUGAUCUCACCAAUCCAAUAACUCAUGAAUUUUUUUAUCUAUUUGAAUUACAUAAUACAGGGUUAAAUAUGUAGACGUGUGAUUCUUUGUUUUAGUUGUCUCCCGCUGAACAUAUAUUCUUAGCUGCGUAUUUUUUAGUUUUCUGCAGGUUGUUGGGAAUGUUAAUUCAAUCAGUGCUCUACUUGACAGGUCUUGACUUCUUUAUUACUUAUUACUUGCUUAACAACCGUUUUUAAAAAAUGCGUAGCAAUCUGUUGUAGCUGUAAUAUAUUGAGUCGACAAACUAUGCUAUAAUCUUCUUAGCCUUUGCCAUAAUUUCAAGCAAGAAUUUGGCGGGACUAACAUUUAUUUGCAGGCAAAAGAGAGAGUACAACUUUAUCACGUGCGAGUGUGAUGAAAUGAUAGCCCCAAAUUUCAAUACAGCGUUGAGGAGAAGUACUACAUCAUUGAUGGUAUAUCUUGUUAAUUUCUUAGUAUCUUGGAACAGUGAUGUGCCAUGUUAACAAGUGAUGGCUAAUUUGUGUGUUGUUUGUAAUCUUUGCAGUUUUGAGUACUGGUCUCACCUUCUUUGAUUGAUAAUUUUUUUACUCUUUCACGUCAUUUACUUCAAAGUUUGAGUUUUCCCUCAUAUAUAUACACAUUGAUAUGGUUACGAGUAAGGGAUGUGGAUCAAUUUGCACGUAGGGUAAGGGCAUGUGAUUUUUUUUCUCCCGUUGCAACGCACAGGCAACUUUGCUAUUCAAACCUAUAGCCUAUAAUAAACCCCAGUUUGUUAAUCAAGUUUAAACAUUUCAGUUCCGUUUUUGGGUCGGAAUUUCAGUGGCCAUGUAAGACUGGAAAUUGCUCAUCAUGUGUUCCUUAAUGUAUAUUGUGCCAAUAGCUAUUAAACCUUCGAUAUGCUGGAGGGCGAUGAGGUGGCAUGGAGCUAAACAUAGAUUGAAGAUUCUGUCAUGGGUUCCUUAGAGAAGAUGGAACAAAUGAGUAUGGAGAUCCAGCUGUUGAAGAUGCCGAGGGACAAGAACAUUCAGAAGUUUUUCGCCUAACAAGAAUACAUUUAACAUCAUCACAGAUUGCUUUAGCUAGAGCCAGGUUCAGAGUUGUUCACUCGGGAUUUUUUGGGCACGGACAUCAAGCAAGCUAGCACGUAUUGUUUAACUGAAGGAAAGGGCAACUAAGCUUUGAAUGCUACAUUCUUUGUUCUGAACAAAUGUAGCUACUAUUUGUAUUCGAUGCUGGACUCCUGGUAACAAUUUAUUACUGUACAUGUUAUUUCUUUUUUUGGUGAGUCUUUUUUAGGAUUAUGGAGUUAACGGGUGUUACUUUUGACCUGCUAAUACAGUUGUGUUAAACUUUUUGCUCUUCGAAAGCAACUAUGUAAGUCUGACGCUAACAUAGUGUUUACUGCUAAAAUACUUUAGUUUAACUUAAGAGUCAGGAGCACAAGUAGAAUUUCAUAGAAAUCUGUCUAGCUCCUGUAGAUGAAAGACUUCCUGCAAGUGAGCUCUUGAAUAACUCUUACCUCCAGGAAGAUGAGGUCUAUCCCAGCGCCUCCAGUUUCAGUCUCUCUGGUCUCAAGUGUGACUGAAGAUAGGUGGCAAUCUGCAAGUUUCGUGCUUUGGAAAGGCUGUUUAAAGAAUGCUGAGUUGUCAAGCGAGGUGCUGCAGUGGCUGGCGUUGCCGGGCAUGGGACAACGUCCCUAGGCUCCUGCUUGAGGCAAGCCUCUCCGACCUCCUCGGAUGCCUUCUAGGAACUGGCACUGCGUAUGAUGGCCUCCUCACCUAGAACCUAGGUUGACCUAGCCACUGCCAUCGAAGCGGAGAGUUGACAACAUAUGUAUGAUUGUUCGACGGUGUCAGUCCUGCCAUUGGAAUGUUCAAAACUAUGAAUUGAGUGAUUACAAAUAUGCUUUGAUCAAUGAAAUGAAACGAAAUUUUGCUACAUCUUGUUGUGCAGAUAUAGGGCUUGAAUUAUUUUCGGUCGUAUCAUCUUGGCCCUAUAAUAAAAAAGCGAGUGUGGGAGGACGCGACCAGUUGCUACCAGUAUCAAGGUGCACUUGAUGUGUAGUAUUCAGUCAAUGAGAACCAUAGAAAAAUGGAGGCACCGACUCUAGGAGUAUAUAUCCGCUCCCAAAAAAAGUGUGCUAUAUAUUGAAUGGUUCAAUAUAGGUUAGUGAAUUUGAGGCAGCAAAAGGCUUUAGAGCUAAAAUCAAUAGGAAAUGGUAUUUGUUUCUUAAGAAGUUUUUUGAUAAAUGUAAAAAAGAAAAUGAAUUAGUUAGUAGAGAAAAGGAGACCAUGACUUGUUUCUCUAUUUAUCCUUGCUCCACACAUGUUGUGAUUAGAGGACACUGUGUAAUCGCUGGCAGUGAGGGACUAAGAUAAGUGGUGACAUGGUGUCGGCGGUGGACUAAGAUAAGUGGUGACACGGGUGGGACACCAUGUUGAAAUAGAGGACGUUGAAUUGUGGGGGUCUUGAGCCGUAUUUAUCAGCCCGUUGCAACGCACAGGCAUGUUUACUAGUUAGAAAUAAAGCACGGAUUGAGUCUCUGGAUUCACCAUCGCGGCGCUUUUGCAAAAACGUUUCAAUCUUGCAAAAAGACCAUGUAGUUUUUUGGUAUUCAACCCACGCUCCUUUUUGAAGUGGCAGCACACACGAGCAUAUGCAUGCUCUCCUCGAUGCAACAGGCGGCGCCGCCGCGGGCGCUCCUCGAUCCAUACGGGCGGCGCCACCGCCACCUGCGGCUGGUCUUCUUCUCCAGCCAUCUGCCGCCCUUCUCCCCUCCCCAUUCGUUGCCCUCCUCUACCCUCCCGCCCCUAAUCUUCUCUGGCACUACCCCCAGCCUCCUGCUGCCGUGCCUCGAUCCAUACGGGCGUCACCGCCAGCGGGGGGCGGUCUUCUUCUCCGGCCAUCCACCGCCCUCCUCCCCUCCCCCUCCCUCCUAUUCUUCUUCUUCUUCUCCGGCCAUCCGUCGCCCUCCUCAAAUCCCGCGGAGUUCGCCGGAGGAAGAACAUCCGCCGUCCGAACGUGCUACGCCAGAGGGAAGCACCGGAAAGUGGAUGUUUCUAUGCAGCAUCACCCAAAAGUUUAAUUUGAGAUAUUCCAUCAAGCGAAACGAGGAUAUAUUGGGUGGUCUCCGACAGCCCGACGACAAUACAGAGUCGUCGUAGUUGGGUUGUGUUCAUGUAACACUGAAACUUGACAUAGUUAGUAUAAGAAGGUUUGGUUUACUUCCACUAUGUUACUGUUCAGUCUAUUUUAUAAACAUGUUGAUUAGCCAUUCUGGCAAAGAGGCAUCUUCAAUAUUUCAGAAAUCUCUUUUCCAGAAACUCCAAUUCUCCUCAUAGGAAUUGAGAUGCCCAAUAUUUCUCAAUUUGCUGACAAGGUUGUAAUAUAAUCACGUUUUGCUAUUGACGUAAUGAUAUAUUCCUUGACUGAAAGCAAACCCUUUAAUUGCAUCUGUACUAAGCAUUCUUUCCGUCUAUAUCCUGUCAUGAUUUUUUUACUAGCUGUAGUGGUGUUCUUAUUAUUGUCAUUUUCCAGAAUUAUUGUCAUUUCACAGAUGGUAUAAACCUUGUUCAUGGCUAACUUAUAGAAUAGCAAACCUGGUUCAUGGCUAACUUAUAGAAUAGCAAACCUUGUUCAUGGCUAACUUAUACAAUAGCAGUAACUGAUUUGAAACCAUCAAUCUCAGGAACACUCUGACCAUGUAUUUGAUUCUGUUAAAGACCCAAUAUGUCAUGUGGUCCUGCAUCUCCUGAUGUUGGUAUUUCCAGUAAAUUUUAUUGACAGGCACUUUGGUGUCUCAGCAACCAGGUCGCCACCGACCACCACGGUGGCUCGCAGCGAUGCCCUCCCGCCACCGUAUGUACGACCAGCGGCGAGAUGGGGGGGAACUCUUUGGCAUGCCGGCACACAGGAACGACACAUGCCGUACAACCUGAAGGUCACGUUCGUCAGGCUUGACUUGACCCUCACCGACGCCACCUUGCCACCUCUGUUGCCGGAGAUCAGCCGAAGAUUAGCUUGUUGCCGCUUUGCUUCAAUGGUUGCUUUAAUGCUUAAAACAUCAGAGUAUUUUUUUAGUUACAGAUUUGGCAAUACCCAGGACAUUAUGUUUCUCCAAUUCAACUAUUGGCUUUCAAGGUGGCAGUGUCAGCCAUUACUGCUAUCACAGGAUCAUGUGACUGUAUAUUUGGUUUUUGUCAGAAUAUGAGGAAAAUGACUCUUUUGUA
Long non-coding RNA from Triticum dicoccoides, 6011 nucleotides. RefSeq lists it as uncharacterized. Lineage: Eukaryota; Viridiplantae; Streptophyta; Magnoliopsida; Poales; Poaceae. The record is from RefSeq and is a predicted model, not a curated record. The transcript is spliced from 5 exons.